GAUGAACGCUGGCGGCGUGCCUAAUACAUGCAAGUCGAGCGAACGGACGAGAAGCUUGCUUCUCUGAUGUUAGCGGCGGACGGGUGAGUAACACGUGGAUAACCUACCUAUAAGACUGGGAUAACUUCGGGAAACCGGAGCUAAUACCGGAUAAUAUUUUGAACCGCAUGGUUCAAAAGUGAAAGACGGUCUUGCUGUCACUUAUAGAUGGAUCCGCGCUGCAUUAGCUAGUUGGUAAGGUAACGGCUUACCAAGGCAACGAUGCAUAGCCGACCUGAGAGGGUGAUCGGCCACACUGGAACUGAGACACGGUCCAGACUCCUACGGGAGGCAGCAGUAGGGAAUCUUCCGCAAUGGGCGAAAGCCUGACGGAGCAACGCCGCGUGAGUGAUGAAGGUCUUCGGAUCGUAAAACUCUGUUAUUAGGGAAGAACAUAUGUGUAAGUAACUGUGCACAUCUUGACGGUACCUAAUCAGAAAGCCACGGCUAACUACGUGCCAGCAGCCGCGGUAAUACGUAGGUGGCAAGCGUUAUCCGGAAUUAUUGGGCGUAAAGCGCGCGUAGGCGGUUUUUUAAGUCUGAUGUGAAAGGCCACGGCUCAACCGUGGAGGGUCAUUGGAAACUGGAAAACUUGAGUGCAGAAGAGGAAAGUGGAAUUCCAUGUGUAGCGGUGAAAUGCGCAGAGAUAUGGAGGAACACCAGUGGCGAAGGCGACUUUCUGGUCUGUAACUGACGCUGAUGUGCGAAAGCGUGGGGAUCAAACAGGAUUAGAUACCCUGGUAGUCCACGCCGUAAACGAUGAGUGCUAAGUGUUAGGGGGUUUCCGCCCCUUAGUGCUGCAGCUAACGCAUUAAGCACUCCGCCUGGGGAGUACGACCGCAAGGUUGAAACUCAAAGGAAUUGACGGGGACCCGCACAAGCGGUGGAGCAUGUGGUUUAAUUCGAAGCAACGCGAAGAACCUUACCAAAUCUUGACAUCCUUUGACAACUCUAGAGAUAGAGCCUUCCCCUUCGGGGGACAAAGUGACAGGUGGUGCAUGGUUGUCGUCAGCUCGUGUCGUGAGAUGUUGGGUUAAGUCCCGCAACGAGCGCAACCCUUAAGCUUAGUUGCCAUCAUUAAGUUGGGCACUCUAAGUUGACUGCCGGUGACAAACCGGAGGAAGGUGGGGAUGACGUCAAAUCAUCAUGCCCCUUAUGAUUUGGGCUACACACGUGCUACAAUGGACAAUACAAAGGGCAGCGAAACCGCGAGGUCAAGCAAAUCCCAUAAAGUUGUUCUCAGUUCGGAUUGUAGUCUGCAACUCGACUACAUGAAGCUGGAAUCGCUAGUAAUCGUAGAUCAGCAUGCUACGGUGAAUACGUUCCCGGGUCU
This 1372-nucleotide ribosomal RNA is filed under the name uncultured bacterium. Its description in RNAcentral is "bacterial SSU rRNA". It matches the Rfam family "Bacterial small subunit ribosomal RNA", at positions 28 to 1381 of the family's 1533-position model. The record is from RNAcentral.